UACGAAGGGGGCUAGCGUUGUUCGGAGUCACUGGGCGUAAAGCGCACGCAGGCGGAUUGAUAAGUCAGGGGUGAAAUCCCGGGGCUCAACCUCGGAAUUGCCUUUGAUACUGUCUGUCUUGAGUCCGGGAGAGGUGAGUGGAAUUCCUAGUGUAGAGGUGAAAUUCGUAGAUAUUAGGAAGAACACCGGUGGCGAAGGCGGCCCACUGGAUCGGUACUGACGCUGAGGUGCGAAAGCUAGGGGAGCAAACGGG
This 253-nucleotide ribosomal RNA is filed under the name uncultured bacterium. Its description in RNAcentral is "partial 16S ribosomal RNA". It matches the Rfam family "Bacterial small subunit ribosomal RNA", at positions 524 to 776 of the family's 1533-position model. The record is from RNAcentral.